This 253-nucleotide ribosomal RNA is filed under the name uncultured bacterium. RNAcentral describes it as "partial 16S ribosomal RNA". It matches the Rfam family "Bacterial small subunit ribosomal RNA", at positions 524 to 776 of the family's 1533-position model. The record is from RNAcentral.
UACGUAAGGGGCAAGCGUUACCCGGAAUUAUUGGGCGUAAAGCGUCCGCAGGUGGUUUGGUAAGUUUGUUAUUAAAUACCGGUGCUCAACAUCGGUGCUGUAAUGAAAACUGCCUCACUCGAGGAUGGGAGAGGAGUGUGGAAUUGUGCAAGUAGGGGUAAAAUCCGUAGAUAUGCACAGGAACACCAAAAGCGAAGGCAACACUCUGGCCCAAUCCUGACACUCAGGGACGAAAGCGUGGGGAGCGAAACGG